GAUUCAUAAUAACUUCUCGAAUCGCAUGGCCUUGUGCCGGCGAUGCAUCAUUCAAAUAUCUGCCCUAUCAACUUUCGAUGGUAGGAUAGUGGCCUACCAUGGUUUCAACGGGUAACGGGGAAUAAGGGUUCGAUUCCGGAGAGGGAGCCUGAGAAACGGCUACCACAUCCCAGGAAGGCAGCAGGCGCGCAAAUUACCCAAUCCCGACACGGGGAGGUAGUGACAAUAAAUAACAAUAUAGGGCUCUUUCUGGUCUUAUAAUUGGAAUGAGUACAAUUUAAAUCUCUUAACGAGGAAAAAUUGGAGGGCAAGUCUGGUGCCACCACCCGCGGUAAUUCCACCUCCAAUAUCGUAUAUAAAAGUUGUUGCACUUAAAAAGCUCGUAGUUGAACUUCACAUUUGGUCGGGUGGUCCCCUUACCGGCGUGUUACUGCUUGACUGGGUCUCGUCUCUUAGAGAACACUUGUGCCCUUUAUUGGUGUGCUGUGGGGAACCAAGACUUUUAC
This 506-nucleotide ribosomal RNA is filed under the name uncultured fungus. RNAcentral describes it as "SSU rRNA". It matches the Rfam family "Eukaryotic small subunit ribosomal RNA", at positions 248 to 755 of the family's 1831-position model. The record is from RNAcentral. Lineage: Eukaryota; Fungi.